Molecule: ribosomal RNA, 237 nt
Filed under: uncultured bacterium
Lineage: Bacteria
Description: partial 16S ribosomal RNA
Rfam family: Bacterial small subunit ribosomal RNA
Source: RNAcentral
UGAGCAAUCUGCCCUUCUCAUCGGAAUAAGCGUUGGAAACGACGUCUAAUGCCGAAUACGACCUCCUUUCGCAUGAUCGGAGGUGGAAAGCUCCGGCGGAGAAGGAUGAGCUCGCGGCCUAUCAGCUUGUUGGUGAGGUAAUAGCUCACCAAGGCGAUGACGGGUAGCUGGUCUGAGAGGGGCCGACCGGCCACACGUGGGACUGGGACACCGGCCCAGACCUCGUAACCGGGGAGG